Molecule: unclassified non-coding RNA, 298 nt
Filed under: Hevea brasiliensis (rubber tree)
Lineage: Eukaryota; Viridiplantae; Streptophyta; Magnoliopsida; Malpighiales; Euphorbiaceae
Source: RNAcentral
GUACGAGUCAAGGAGCUCCAAUGCAGCCUGGAAUCCGGAUGCCCGGUGUCGGGUACAAUCCGAUGGCAGGUAUGGGCGGCUAUGGUCAGCAGCAGUAUGGAGGCGGAAACCGAUGAGGAGCAGUAUCAUGUUAAGCUUUAUACUGGAAUGACCCAGAUUAUAGGAGGGCCAGCGCAAGUCUGUGUCUGUAUGAUGUUGUAUUUGUAGAUUAUUAUUUUGAAGCUACGUUGAUGGUGAUGUAUCGGUGUAUAUGUGUACACUAGUUGGGUCAUUCAAGUGAUACAGACUAUAGAAGCCU